GUAGGUGGCAAGCGUUGUCCGGGAAUUAUUGGGCGUAAAGCGCGCGCAGGCGGUUCGUUUAAGUCUGAUGUGAAAGCCCACGGGCUCAACCGUGGAGGGUCAUUGGAAACUGGAGAACUUGAGUACAGAAGAGGAAGGCGGAAUUCCACGUGUAGCGGUGAAAUGCGUAGAGAUGUGGAGGAACACCAGUGGCGAAGGCGGCUUUCUGGUCUGUAACUGACGCUGAGGCGCGAAAGCGUGGGGAGCAAACAGGAUUAGAUACCCUGGUAGUCCACGCCGUAAACGAUGAGUGCUAAGUGUUAGGGGGUUUCCGCCCCUUAGUGCUGCAGCUAACGCAUUAAGCACUCCGCCUGGGGAGUACGGCCGCAAAGGCUG
This 375-nucleotide ribosomal RNA is filed under the name uncultured organism. RNAcentral's name for it is "partial 16S ribosomal RNA". It matches the Rfam family "Bacterial small subunit ribosomal RNA", at positions 527 to 896 of the family's 1533-position model. The record is from RNAcentral.